This 74-nucleotide transfer RNA is filed under the name bacterium (Candidatus Howlettbacteria) CG_4_10_14_0_8_um_filter_40_9. RNAcentral describes it as "tRNA-Gln". It matches the Rfam family "tRNA". Rfam says of the family: Transfer RNA (tRNA) molecules are approximately 80 nucleotides in length. Their secondary structure includes four short double-helical elements and three loops (D, anti-codon, and T loops). Further hydrogen bonds mediate the characteristic L-shaped molecular structure. tRNAs have two regions of fundamental functional importance: the anti-codon, which is responsible for specific mRNA codon recognition, and the 3' end, to which the tRNAs corresponding amino acid is attached (by aminoacyl-tRNA synthetases). tRNAs cope with the degeneracy of the genetic code in two manners: having more than one tRNA (with a specific anti-codon) for a particular amino acid; and 'wobble' base-pairing, i.e. permitting non-standard base-pairing at the 3rd anti-codon position. The record is from RNAcentral.
UCGGAGGUCGUCUAGUGGUAGGACAUUAGGUUCUGGUCCUAAGAACGGGGGUUCGAAUCCCUCCCUCCGAACCA